RNAcentral lists this ribosomal RNA (498 nucleotides) under uncultured bacterium. RNAcentral's name for it is "bacterial SSU rRNA". It matches the Rfam family "Bacterial small subunit ribosomal RNA", at positions 25 to 518 of the family's 1533-position model. The record is from RNAcentral.
CAGGAUGAACGCUGGCGGCGGUGCCUAACACAUGCAAGUCGAACGGAGCUUACUUGAAGGAGACUUCGGUCAACGGAAGGGUAAGCUUAGUGGCGGACGGGUGAGUAACGCGUGGAGAACCUGCCCUGUACAGGGGGGAUAACAGUGAGAAAUCACUGCUAAUACCGCAUAAGCGCACAGUACCGCAUGGUACAGUGUGAAAAAACUCCGGUGGUACAGGAUGGCUCCGCGUUGGAUUAGCCAGUUGGCGGGGUAACGGCCCACCAAAGCGACGAUCCAUAGCCGGCCUGAGAGGGUGAACGGCCACAUUGGGACUGAGACACGGCCCAGACUCCUACGGGAGGCAGCAGUGGGGAAUAUUGCACAAUGGGGGAAACCCUGAUGCAGCGAACCGCCGCGUGAAGGAAGAAGUAUCUCGGUAUGUAAACUUCUAUCAGCAGGGAAGAUGAUGACGGUACCUGACUAAGAAGCCCCGGCUGACUACGUGCCAGCCGCAGC